This 400-nucleotide unclassified non-coding RNA is filed under the name uncultured fungus. Its description in RNAcentral is "sequence contains ITS1". The stretch from base 1 to 104 matches the Rfam family "5.8S ribosomal RNA", at positions 50 to 154 of the family's 154-position model. Lineage: Eukaryota; Fungi. The record is from RNAcentral.
GAAAUGCGAUACGUAAUGUGAAUUGCAGCACUCGUGAAUCAUCGAAUCUUUGAACGCAUAUUGCGCUUUAUGGUAUUCCGUAAAGCAUGCCUGUUUGAGAAUCAUUUUAAUCUAUCACCCUCGGGUGGAUUUGGGCCUUCACAUUCUGAAUGCGUGGCCUUAAAUGCAUAGUUUGGUCUAGGGUUCUUGAUGGAACUCCGCGAAGCAUUACCAAUUGGGGUCCGCUCCAUUUUUGCCUAGCAGUUUUCCGCCCUUCAAGUCUCCGGAUGGCCGACUCAACCAAACAAGGCCCCGCGCCUUGACUUAUCCAGAGUUUGGUACCGCGACUCCCUUUGGGGGGCCGCAGUUGCCGCCUCUUGAUGACUUGGUCUCAAAUCAGGCAAGAGUACCCGCUGAACUU